This is a long non-coding RNA of Ixodes scapularis (black-legged tick), 263 nucleotides long. RefSeq lists it as uncharacterized. The transcript has 3 exons. The record is from RefSeq and is a predicted model, not a curated record. Lineage: Eukaryota; Metazoa; Arthropoda; Arachnida; Ixodida; Ixodidae.
ACAACCCUUCGAUCUUUCCAUCGCCGUACAAGAAGAGAGUGGUACUCGGGGUUGCUGAACGACACGACAGGCAACUGAAAAGGGUCGAACAACAAAGGCGUGUAACACCGUGUACAGCUGCACCUGAAGUUGAUUUACCCAUGGAGCGGCAACCAGCAGAGGAGCCAGCACCUGCUCCAUUAACAGCCAGUGCUUCCACCAUGACAGAAGAUGAUGGAGCAAGCUUCUCACCAUGCACCCUGUUUCUUUGCUGUAACAUGGGG